GCACGAAGUUAGCCGGGGCUUAUUCUGCGGGUACCGUCAUUAUCGUCCCCGCCAAAAGAGCUUUACAACCCUAAGGCCUUCGUCACUCACGCGGCAUGGCUGGAUCAGGCUUGCGCCCAUUGUCCAAUAUUCC
Molecule: ribosomal RNA, 133 nt
Filed under: uncultured bacterium
Lineage: Bacteria
Description: partial 16S ribosomal RNA
Source: RNAcentral